This 1356-nucleotide ribosomal RNA is filed under the name Lactiplantibacillus plantarum. Its description in RNAcentral is "Lactobacillus plantarum 16S ribosomal RNA". It matches the Rfam family "Bacterial small subunit ribosomal RNA", at positions 93 to 1439 of the family's 1533-position model. The record is from RNAcentral. Lineage: Bacteria; Bacillati; Bacillota; Bacilli; Lactobacillales; Lactobacillaceae.
GAGUGGCGAACUGGUGAGUAAAGUGGGAAACCUGCCCAGAAGCGGGGGAUAACACCUGGAAACAGAUGCUAAUACCGCAUAACAACUUGGACCGCAUGGUCCGAGUUUGAAAGAUGGCUUCGGCUAUCACUUUUGGAUGGUCCCGCGGCGUAUUAGCUAGAUGGUGAGGUAACGGCUCACCAUGGCAAUGAUACGUAGCCGACCUGAGAGGGUAAUCGGCCACAUUGGGACUGAGACACGGCCCAAACUCCUACGGGAGGCAGCAGUAGGGAAUCUUCCACAAUGGACGAAAGUCUGAUGGAGCAACGCCGCGUGAGUGAAGAAGGGUUUUUGCUUUUAAAACUCUGUUGUUAAAGAAGAACAUAUCUGAGAGUAACUGUUCAGGUAUUGACGGUAUUUAACCAGAAAGCCACGGCUAACUACGUGCCAGCAGCCGCGGUAAUACGUAGGUGGCAAGCGUUGUCCGGAUUUAUUGGGCGUAAAGCGAGCGCAGGCGGUUUUUUAAGUCUGAUGUGAAAGCCUUCGGCUCAACCGAAGAAGUGCAUCGGAAACUGGGAAACUUGAGUGCAGAACAGGACAGUGGAACUCCAUGUGUAGCGGUGAAAUGCGUAGAUAUAUGGAAGAACACCAGUGGCGAAGGCGGCUGUCUGGUCUGUAACUGACGCUGAGGCUCGAAAGUAUGGGUAGCAAACAGGAUUAGAUACCCUGGUAGUCCAUACCGUAAACGAUGAAUGCUAAGUGUUGGAGGGUUUCCGCCCUUCAGUGCUGCAGCUAACGCAUUAAGCAUUCCGCCUGGGGAGUACGGCCGCAAGGCUGAAACUCAAAGGAAUUGACUGGGGCCCGCACAAGCGGUGGAGCAUGUGUUUAAUUCGAAGCUACGCGAAGAACCUUACCAGGUCUUGACAUACUAUGCAAAUCUAAGAGAUUAGACGUUCCCUUCGGGGACAUGGAUACAGGUGGUGCAUGGUUGUCGUCAGCUCGUGUCGUGAGAUGUUGGGUUAAGUCCCGCAACGAGCGCAACCCUUAUUAUCAGUUGCCAGCAUUAAGUUGGGCACUCUGGUGAGACUGCCGGUGACAAACCGGAGGAAGGUGGGGAUGACGUCAAAUCAUCAUGCCCCUUAUGACCUGGGCUACACACGUGCUACAAUGGAUGGUACAACGAGUUGCGAACUCGCGAGAGUAAGCUAAUCUCUUAAAGCCAUUCUCAGUUCGGAUUGUAGGCUGCAACUCGCCUACAUGAAGUCGGAAUCGCUAGUAAUCGCGGAUCAGCAUGCCGCGGUGAAUACGUUCCCGGGCCUUGUACACACCGCCCGUCACACCAUGAGAGUUUGUAACACCCAAAGUCGGUGGGGUAAC